GCAUUGGUGGUUCACUGGUAGAAUCCUCGCCUGCCUCGCAGGAGACCCGGGUCAGAUUCCCAGCCAAUGCA
Danio rerio (zebrafish) is the source of this 71-nucleotide non-coding RNA. The record is from Rfam. NCBI's taxonomy places the organism in Eukaryota, Metazoa, Chordata, Actinopteri, Cypriniformes, Danionidae.